This 8963-nucleotide non-coding RNA is filed under the name Cordylochernes scorpioides. Lineage: Eukaryota; Metazoa; Arthropoda; Arachnida; Pseudoscorpiones; Chernetidae. The record is from RNAcentral.
UGUGUGUGUGUGAUGCCAAAAAUAAUUAUUAAAUUUUAUUCUAAUAUAAUGUCAUUCCACUCCUAAAAAUGUUUUGAACGACCUAUUUUAUUAUCUUGAAGAUAGAGUUUUUGCCUGGCUGGCAUUCAUAUUUCUUAAAAAUCUUCGGUCAGUUAAUCACUUCGGCCAGUUAAAGUUUUAGUUAAAAAGAAAAUAAAACUUUAACUAGUUGAAGUAUCUAUUUUUUAAAGUUGUCACAACCUUGUCUUUUUUUUUUUGCAUAAUUUCCCAUUGGAGAUAGUAUUUUGAUCAUUUCUAAGUCUGAUGUUAAGUUUUACAGCAUAUGUAAAUCAUUGAUAAAUCGAACCUUUUGUGUUUAUACUCUUUUCAUGUAAAUAUGGUGUCUCAUCAAGAUGGUAAGUUCAUCUAAAAGACAAAACGAUAUUGGGUUGGUAAAUAAUUAUUGUACACUCUUUCAUUAAAUUGUUAUUUGGAAGCAUAUUCAUUAUCUUCUUCUUUCUUAUCUCCACUCAAUCACACUAAGGUAUCAAGCUUGUAAAGCUUGAGACUUUUGAUGGUGUCUGCCAGGGAAGAGUACAGCUCAUUAAGGGAUGAGUCAAUACAGUCAAUAAUGUGUCUUGGGGUUGCAGGCUGAGAAUUGCACUUAGUAUAUAGUGGGAAAACACUGCAACCAUUCUGGAAAGUCAUUGUCCGUAGAUGACCAGACUUAAGUCUGGAAAUCAAAGACUGUUGUUCUCUUGGGAGGGCAGUACCGGUGCUUGUCCCUCCUGCUCUGUACCAGUCAUGUGCAGCAUUAGAUUUACAUUCCUGCAGGCAUUGGGUUUUGAUGGUACGGAGGAGGUACGCAUAUUCAUUAUCUAGUUCAUUUACUUUUUAAUAAAAAUAAACAAGGCCACGUGCUAUUUUUUUUUAUUUCUUUAGCUUUCAGACAAAGAUACCCUUCAACAGAAGAACUUUUUCCGCAUGAAUAGUUAUCUGCAAGUCAUACUUCUAACCUUUUUAUGAACAAUCUUGGUAGCGUGUAGCACCUUGGUACUUUGAUAUAGUGAAUUACGGUUUGUCUGCUUGCUAUAUCCAUUCUUGGGCUGAAAAUUCAUGUACUAUGGUUAGUAGCCUGUAAUACCAUGUUCUCUCUGUAUAUUAUCUUACAAGCGUUAUAUAUAUGUGAUCAUAUUAGUUUAUGUCAUAGAAGACACUCCUUCAAAUGAUUCAAAUUAUAAUCAAUAUUCUCUCUCUCUCUGUGGGAAAGAACUCUCGCAGUCCACCGGUGGCGGGGUCUUUCCCGCAGUGGGGGGUAACCAAUGACGACUUGUAUAUAUUUAUAUGUAUGUAUAUUUAUCAAUCUAUCUAUAUAUAUAUAAAUGAAUGUAUGUGUGUCUGUCUGUCCUUUAUGCCUGACCAAACCACUCAUUGGAAUGCCAUGAAACUUUGGGAAGUUAUUUAGUAUAGUACUGGGAAGGUUUCUAGCAAAUAAAAUUUUUGAAAUAACUUUUCGCUUUAAAAUAAUCAAGAUAAAUAUUCUAAUUUAUCUGUUAUAUUUCAACAAUCUGCUCUAAAUAUUAUCAUGAUGAUACGAUGAUUUUGUAAUGUAGAAAAUUAGGAAAGACAAAAUUCAGGAUGACACGGCAAUUUAUUUGAGACAAGAAUAAUGAUACAAUUCCAAAGCAAAGAUACUAUUCUUUUAACUUCCAAUUACCGAGGGAACCAAUUAAUAUUGAUUUUAUUCAACUUAUCGAGUAUUUUUCAAGGGACCGGGAAAAAAUGUUCACUAGAUAAAACGAUGAUUUUGUAAUGUAGAAAAUUAGGAAAGACAAAAUUCAGGAUGACACGGCACACAGGGACCGGGAAAAAAUGUUCACUUUAUCGAGAGAUUCAAAUUUACGAUUUUCAAAUUAUCAAAAUAUAUAUAUUUUUUAUAUAUAUAAGUUUAUAGAGAAUUGUUUUAACAAAUGUUCGUUAGACAAACCUUUACUCGGGUAAAACCCGGGUGAAGCCGGGUACGUCCGCUAGUAUAUAAAUGAAUGUAUGUGUGUCUGUCUGUCCUUUAUGCCUGACCAAACCACUCAUUGGAACGCCAUGAAACUUUGGGAAGUUAUUUAAUAUAGUACUGGGAAGGUUUCUAGCAAAUAAAAUUUUUGAAAUAACUUUUCGCCUAAAAAUACUCAAGAUAAAUAUUCUAAUUUAUCUGUUAUAAUUCAACAAUCUGCUCUAAAUAUUAUCAUGAUGAUACGAUGAUUUUGUAAUGUAGAAAAUUAGGAAAGACAAAAUUCAGGAUGACACGGCAAUUUAUUUGAGACAAGAAUAAUGAUACAAUUCCAAGGCAAGAUACUAUUCCUUUAACUUCCAAUUACCGAGGGAACCAAUUAAUAUUGAUUUUAUUCAACCUAUCGAGUAUUUUUCAAGGGACCUGGAAAAAAUGUUCACAUUAUCGAGAGAUUCGUUAGACAAACCUUUACUCGGAUAAAACCCGGGCGAAGCCGGGUACAUCCAUACAAGAAUUAUGAUACAAUUCCAAGGCAAGAUACUAUUCCUUUUACUUCCAAUUACCGAGGAAACAAAUUAAUAUUGAUUUUAUUCAACUUAAAGAGUAUUUUUCAAGGGACCGGGAAAAAAUGUUCACUUUAUCGAGAGAUUCGUUAGACAAACCUUUAUUCGGGUAAAACCCGGGCGAAGCCGGGUACGUCCGCUAGUUGUUUUAUAUAUCUAUAUCUAUUUAUUCAUAUAUUUAUCAUUAUAUAAUCAUAUUUAUUCAUAUUCAUAUUUAUUCUGUAUUUAACCUUAUAUAAUCUUACUAGACGGGUGACCCGGGCUUCGCCCCGGGAUUGACCCGUGUGCAAAUCUACCCGAGUGAUAUAUAUUUAGAUAAGAUUCUUUUAUGAUUGUUUGUUAUUAGCAUUAUCUAUUUGUUUGCAUCAGCAUAAUUUAAUCUAAUCUUUGAUAGAAGGCGCUGUUCGUGAGGUAAGUAGAAUAAUUUGAAUAUAGUUUUAAUAAUUGAUUUAUAUAUUUUUUAAAAUAGCCUAUCGUCUUCCCCGUAUUUUUUUUUUUUUUUAACCUAUGUAUGGAAAUUUUGGUUUGAAUUAGUGAACUACUGCGAACUUUGAGAUAGCUUGCUAUUGAGUCAGAUGAAUGAGGAAUACUACAUAUUGAUUGGUAAACUGGGGGUUUAUACUCUCAGAUGGGUUGUGAAAAUGUAUCAAAAUUAAUAAGUGAUUUCCAAGUUUUGACAUUUGCUGAAAUACUAUUUAAUGUGUGUAUCUUGUAACUGAGAGGGCGGUAGGAGGGGAACUGACUGUAGUUAAAACACCAAUUUAUUGUAUUCAAGUACAGGAUAUAUAAGAAACUGAGUUUAAUACAAUAGUGAUGCAGUCUGGAGGUUAAAAUGGCGAAACUGUUAGGAGGGUUCACCAUUGAUGAGCCAUUCCGUCCCUCUUUCAAUUUUUAUUCAUUUCAGAAUAAGGGCUGUAGAAAUAAAUAGUGAUUAUAUACACUGCGUGACAUUGAAAAUGGAACACCAAGAAAUAGUGGCCAGAAAGUGAUGAAACUCGGCAGACAGAGAGAGACAGGGACGAACAAUAAGUGAUCUUUAUUUCAAAAUGAUAGUCAUAAUACAGAGAGCAAGAACGGCGUCGGCUUAGUAGCAAGUAGGACCACCGCGGACGGCGAUGCACGCAGCAACACAUCUAGGUAGAGAGUCAAUCAGAGUAUGGAUGGCGUCCUGAGGGAUGGCUCUCCAUUCCCUCUCAACCAUUUGCCACAGUUCGUCUUCUGAACGCGGCUGCGGCAAGGCAUGCAAACGGCGUCCAAUGAUGUCCCAGACGUGCUCGAUUGGUGAGAGAUUAGGAGAGUACGGUGGCCAGGGAAGCAUCUGUACAUCUUGCAGAGCUUGUUGGCUAAUGCGAGCAGUGUGCGGUCGGGCGUUAUCCUGCUGAUAAAGGGCAUUGGGUACCCCCUGAAGGUAGGGGAGUGUCACCGGUCGCAGCACAUCAUCAACGUAUCGUUGGGCCGUCAUAGUGCCCUGAAUACGAAGUAAAGGUGACCUGGAAUCAUACGCGAUUGCGCCCCAAACCAUGGUUCCACGUUGUCGCACGGUGGGGCGUUCCACAAUUGCUGCCGGAUUGGACCUUUCUCCACGUCGACACCACACGCGUACACGGCGACUAUCACUGGACAAGCAGAAACGCGACUCAUCUGAGAACACGACCCUGUGCCAUUCCGUCAUCCACGUCGACUUAGCCCGGCACCAUUCCAAACGUUGGCGCCUAUUCGGUGGGGUCAAUGGCAGUCUUCUUUGCGGACGGCAUGAGUGCAAGCCAUUAGCAACCAAUCGACGGGAAAUGGUUCUGGUCGAGAUGGAAUGAACUAGGGUGUCUUGCACAUGUUGCAGGAUGGCGGUACAAGUGGCUUGUGGGGCUGCCACUGCUUGUCGAAGGAUACGCCGAUCCACACGUGCUGACGUCACUCUGGUUGCACCGACAUUCCUAUAAAUUGCCACAUUUCCUUGUUCCAAUCAUCUUCUCCACAGUCGGUGCACCGUGGACGCACCAAGGUGUGUAUCAGCUGCGAUUUGACGUAUGGACCAACCUGCCCUUUUCAGUCCGAUCACCAUGCCCCUCGUAAAAGCGUCUGUCUGCUUGAACUGCCUCCGUUUACGAUGACCUGGCAUUCUCUGUUAUUACACGUGUCUUUUGACACAAGAACAAAAUUUCUACAAUGAUUUUCCUUGAAGAAAUAACGACACGAAUACUGUCCUUUCUGCAAGUUCCUUCCCUUAUAUCUUACUCCAUGUGCGCACGAGAGCUGCGCAUUUUACAUCAUUUGCAUAACUCGGUUAGGCGCGUCUACCCUGAAAUUUGCAUAAUUUUCUGGCCACUAUUUCUUGGUGUUCCAUUUUCAAUGUCACGCAGUGUAUAAAUUGGAAGAAAAGUAGCGCUAAAAUGUUUAUAAUUUUUAUCGAUAUUUGGCUCUAGGUGGAUGAUGUAUUAAAUAGUAUCUUUCAUAAAAAUCGCGAAAUCAUUAGGUGAAAGGUUUCUUUUAUAAACUUAAACCUUUCGCGCCUUACGAUUUCGUGGUUUUUAUGAAAUUAUAUAACCCAAGUAUCUAUCAUAGCUAUCAUGACUCUUCAUUGGAUGGUUCAGCAUCACAAAAUACCUGUCUAAUGCCUCUUUUCUCUACUCCUAUUUGUGUUUAUCCAUACUCUUACAACUUCAAAUAACAUCAUGUAUCAUCUGUUGGUGUGAAUGGCAGAAAUCAAAACAAAGUGUAACACAAGUACUGUGGCUUUUCUGCCAUAUAUUUUAUGUUUUACUCAACUCCCUCUUUUUAUUUUCUUGGUUCAGCCUGAAAGUCUGAAAGCGUUUAUAUAUAUUGUCGCGGAUAUAAAUAAAGCAAGGGCAAAUUUGGGAAUAAUAAAUUUAUUAUAAAGGUGGGUAUUUACCUUCUAGUUCUCCAAUAAAAUUAUCUAAAAGAGGUAUUUAUAGGGAGAGAGAGGGUCAGAUAAUAAUAAUACAACUUAUCCCAAGGUAAAGAUAAUAAUGAUGAGCGUCGUCAGCCACCGUCCCGUUUUCCUUAUUUGCAGAUAAGUUACCGAGAACCCCUCACACCUGUGGUCCCCCCGGGGUCCAGGGAUGAUUGACAGGUGUCCCAUCUAGAUGGAGCUUCUUGAAAACAUUUUACCUCCUAACCUGGUAAAUAUAUGAAGUACUACAUGAGAAAUUGUGAUGAGGUAUUUAACGUCCAUUUGUUUUUGUAAGUCUGCACCGCAUGUCUUCACAUGUAAGGGAGAAAGCAAAUUUAUCUAAAGAUUCUUAAAAAUAAUUGCAAAUGUGUAAUCACAAUAUACCAAUACCAAUUGCAAUAGGUUUAUUAAGUUAAAAUGGCAAGCAUCAGCUCAUCAUUAGGCAAAUUGUUUUGCAAAUACCUACAAUUUAUAUAAAAGUGUAGAAUUUGUUUCUUUGAUGUUGUAUCUUUAUUUCUCAGUCUAUACUCCAUAACUUAAUAAUAGACAAUCUGAAGGACAUUAAGUCAAAGUUCGACUGAUGCCAUAGAAAGUCAUCACUUUAUUUCAGUUCUGUCUCCCAAUGAUGAUUUUUAUAUUUGAAGAUGGAAUCUACCAACAGAUUUGUGGUUCCCCCAUAGGGAGCCCAUUAUCAAUAACAGCUGCAUAGAUAGUCAAGAAACUUAGCCCUGGAAGCUUUAUUCAUUUUAUAGAUGGUCUGUUGAAAUUAUUAUUAUUUUUUUGUUUAUCCCAAGUACACGGGGUAUAGGCCAUGAUAAUCAUGGUGAGUCGAAGUAGGCGACUGCUUUUACUGUAAGUGCACCACAUGUCUACACACGUGGAAAGCAGUUCGAUUUUGCACUUAUAAAUGUGCCAGAGCCCCGUUUGGGGACUUGCACUCGCUGGUGGGGUUGGACUUUUGCAAGAAUCGGGGGCCAUUGGGGCAUUUUUAAAAAUUUAUAUAUAUGGAUCAAUAGCUUUGAAGAAAUGAUACUGGUACUUCAAUGAUGUAUUUUUGUGAAUUUGAAAUAGAUGAAGAAAAUCAAAUUUCAAACACUUUGAACAAUUACAACCCCUAGAAUAAAUUCACAAUGGAGACAGAAAUCAAAGCAGCACUAUCUUAUUUAGAUAUACUCAUCCUUAUAGAACCGUACAAAGAUUUCAUUCUACCGUUUAUUACAAAAAAAAAGAAAUAGAACCAUCUUAGUUUUAAGUCAUUUGGUCCAAUAGGUCAUAAAAUAUUUAAGAUACUAACUAAAAUAAUUACUACGCAUUGCUCUCUACCUGUUUUGAAAAUGGAAAAUCUCAAUUUCUUUCGAAACCUGCAAAAGUCCGGAUUCCCGCUAGAAUUCAUACUGAAGCACACCUACAACCAAUUCCUCUCCAAGAAACAGACAGUAUAUCGAGCCAAUUGUUACCUGGAAUAUUUUACAACCAAUCAAAAACGGGCUUGUGAUUUAAAGUAAUUCGACAUAAGAUGUUUAUUCAGCAACUCUCAGUCCAGUGGUCAAAUCAUAAGAAACCCAAUUAUUAAAUCCCACAGUGAAAUAGAAGCUGUAAAUCAGCACAAUAUAUUCAGCAUCCUGAAAACAGCCUCAUAUAUAAGACAAACGAGCCAAUCAGUCGCCACCAGAAUCAAAGAACACAUCCAUAACAUUACAAAUCACGACAAUAGAUCAUUAGCAUAUCAGCAUAAAGAAUCCACCGGCCAUCAAAUCAACCUACAGGAUGUAAAAUAUUAUAUUUCCAAAAUCUAUUUUGAAAUAUAAUAGACUCAUUCUGUAAUCAUUAAUCUCAAAUAGCAAUAACAGUACAUAUAUAGACCGAAGAAUACCACAGAACCCUCAACACGCAGAUAAACCCACAGUAUUUUACCCAAGGGGUAAUGAUCUGUUAUCCGUUUAUCCAACAAUUUCUUAAUUAUUUUUAUAUUUUGGCCACUGGGAGGGUUCACCACUGAUGAGCCAGGCCCUCCCAUUUAUUUUUUAUUACAGUAAGGGCAGUAGAUAUAAUUGUAUAAUUUUAAAAAGCAUCAUACGCGUCUAAAAAAGUUUCAAUUCCUCACAAAACAGAUGGCGCGCUAAUGCGUCAUAUUAUGUAUAUACAGUUAAACCUGUCUAUAGCGCCCCCUCUAAAUAGCGCCUCCAUCUCUAUAGCGCCCGAUUUUAAAUACGUAAUACGAUUAGAUUUACAUUAAAAGUUACCUGUCUAUAGCACCCUAUUUUGGUGAGUCCCAAGAGGGGGCGCUAUAGACAGGUUUAACUGUACAUAUCAAUAAUUUUGUUUAGCCUAGAUAUAAAAAUUAUUUUCGUUAUAUUUGGUAUAAGUAAAUCAAUUUUUAUGAUAAAUAUUUGAAUUAUUUUAGAAUUUAGCUAAACUUUAAAAUAUGUAAUUUCCUUCAACACUUCUCUAUAUAAAUUGUAGGUAUUUGCGAAACAACUGGUCUGAUGAUUGAGCUAACGCUGGUAGGCAUUUUUAUCUUGGUAAAGAAACUUAAAGCAAUUUCAUGAUUGCACUUGCAAGGUGCCAGAGCCCCGUUUGGUUACUAGCACUUACUGAUGGGUUGGACAUUUGCAAGAAUCUUAUUUAUAGAGUGAAAUUAGAAAUUAUUUUAGACGCGUAAGAUUCUUUUUAAAAUUAAACAAUUUCUACUACCCUUACUGCAAUGGAAAAAUUAAUGAGCAGGCCUGGCUCAUCUAAAAUACCCAUUCCAAGAGUCUAACAACAGUAUCACUAUAAAAGGAAGAUCGAAAAAUGCAAUAUAACAUCGAAAUGGUAGAUUAAACUGGCGAAACCGCUGGGAGGGUUCACCACUGAUGAGCCAGGACCUCCCAUUAAUUUUUCCAUUGCAGUAAGGGCAGUAGAAAUUGUUUAAUUUCAAAAAGAAUCUUACGCGUCUAAAAUAGUUUCUAAUUUUCAUAACAGAUGGCGCGCUAGUGCAUCGUAAUAUAGUGAAAUGACCUUUUUCAUAUUUAGAAACAUUUUCAUCUGAACUAUAACCCAAAUUGAACCGUAUCACUUUAAAAUAAUUCAUAUACACAGCAUCCCAUUACUACAUAACAAACUGACUUGGUGAUAAAAAGUGUUCACCGUGUUCCAGGACUUCCGUCAACGACCUUGAUAGGUCUAUCAACCCAGGCGAGAACCUGGAACUCCGCCAAUGUCAAAAUCUCAUGAAGACAAUACAGGUACUUGUCUCUCUUUCUCUAUCUUGACCUCUAUAUUUAACCCUCAUCCUGUCUGACAUCGUGUCCAGGACAGAAAGUCCAUCGAAAAAGUUGGAAUUUUCCACGUUUCUCCCAAGAAAAUGGUAAGGAAGUUCAAUUUUAAAUUCUCAAGAAAACGAAAGAAAUCAUUUUUAUAUUUAAAAAGGUUUUGUCGUUCUUAGCCAGGUCCCAUUAAUUUUUCCAUUGCAGUAUGGGCAGUAUAAAUUGUUUAAUUUCAAAAAGAAUCUUACGCGUCUAAAAUA